GGGUUGUGAGGUUAAGCGACUAAGCGUACACGGUGGAUGCCCUGGCAGUCAGAGGCGAUGAAGGACGUGCUAAUCUGCGAUAAGCGUCGGUAAGGUGAUAUGAACCGUUAUAACCGGCGAUUUCCGAAUGGGGAAACCCAGUGUGAUUCGUCACACUAUCAUUAACUGAAUCCAUAGGUUAAUGAGGCGAACCGGGGGAACUGAAACAUCUAAGUACCCCGAGGAAAAGAAAUCAACCGAGAUUCCCCCAGUAGCGGCGAGCGAACGGGGAGCAGCCCAGAGCCUGAAUCAGUGUGUGUGUUAGUGGAAGCGUCUGGAAAGGCGCGCGAUACAGGGUGACAGCCCCGUACACAAAAAUGCACAUGCUGUGAGCUCGAUGAGUAGGGCGGGACACGUGGUAUCCUGUCUGAAUAUGGGGGGACCAUCCUCCAAGGCUAAAUACUCCUGACUGACCGAUAGUGAACCAGUACCGUGAGGGAAAGGCGAAAAGAACCCCGGCGAGGGGAGUGAAAAAGAACCUGAAACCGUGUACGUACAAGCAGUGGGAGCACGCUUAGGCGUGUGACUGCGUACCUUUUGUAUAAUGGGUCAGCGACUUAUAUUCUGUAGCAAGGUUAACCGAAUAGGGGAGCCGAAGGGAAACCGAGUCUUAACUGGGCGUUAAGUUGCAGGGUAUAGACCCGAAACCCGGUGAUCUAGCCAUGGGCAGGUUGAAGGUUGGGUAACACUAACUGGAGGACCGAACCGACUAAUGUUGAAAAAUUAGCGGAUGACUUGUGGCUGGGGGUGAAAGGCCAAUCAAACCGGGAGAUAGCUGGUUCUCCCCGAAAGCUAUUUAGGUAGCGCCUCGUGAAUUCAUCUCCGGGGGUAGAGCACUGUUUCGGCAAGGGGGUCAUCCCGACUUACCAACCCGAUGCAAACUGCGAAUACCGGAGAAUGUUAUCACGGGAGACACACGGCGGGUGCUAACGUCCGUCGUGAAGAGGGAAACAACCCAGACCGCCAGCUAAGGUCCCAAAGUCAUGGUUAAGUGGGAAACGAUGUGGGAAGGCCCAGACAGCCAGGAUGUUGGCUUAGAAGCAGCCAUCAUUUAAAGAAAGCGUAAUAGCUCACUGGUCGAGUCGGCCUGCGCGGAAGAUGUAACGGGGCUAAACCAUGCACCGAAGCUGCGGCAGCGACGCUUAUGCGUUGUUGGGUAGGGGAGCGUUCUGUAAGCCUGUGAAGGUGUGCUGUGAGGCAUGCUGGAGGUAUCAGAAGUGCGAAUGCUGACAUAAGUAACGAUAAAGCGGGUGAAAAGCCCGCUCGCCGGAAGACCAAGGGUUCCUGUCCAACGUUAAUCGGGGCAGGGUGAGUCGACCCCUAAGGCGAGGCCGAAAGGCGUAGUCGAUGGGAAACAGGUUAAUAUUCCUGUACUUGGUGUUACUGCGAAGGGGGGACGGAGAAGGCUAUGUUGGCCGGGCGACGGUUGUCCCGGUUUAAGCGUGUAGGCUGGUUUUCCAGGCAAAUCCGGAAAAUCAAGGCUGAGGCGUGAUGACGAGGCACUACGGUGCUGAAGCAACAAAUGCCCUGCUUCCAGGAAAAGCCUCUAAGCAUCAGGUAACAUCAAAUCGUACCCCAAACCGACACAGGUGGUCAGGUAGAGAAUACCAAGGCGCUUGAGAGAACUCGGGUGAAGGAACUAGGCAAAAUGGUGCCGUAACUUCGGGAGAAGGCACGCUGAUAUGUAGGUGAAGCGACUUGCUCGUGGAGCUGAAAUCAGUCGAAGAUACCAGCUGGCUGCAACUGUUUAUUAAAAACACAGCACUGUGCAAACACGAAAGUGGACGUAUACGGUGUGACGCCUGCCCGGUGCCGGAAGGUUAAUUGAUGGGGUUAGCGCAAGCGAAGCUCUUGAUCGAAGCCCCGGUAAACGGCGGCCGUAACUAUAACGGUCCUAAGGUAGCGAAAUUCCUUGUCGGGUAAGUUCCGACCUGCACGAAUGGCGUAAUGAUGGCCAGGCUGUCUCCACCCGAGACUCAGUGAAAUUGAACUCGCUGUGAAGAUGCAGUGUACCCGCGGCAAGACGGAAAGACCCCGUGAACCUUUACUAUAGCUUGACACUGAACAUUGAGCCUUGAUGUGUAGGAUAGGUGGGAGGCUUUGAAGUGUGGACGCCAGUCUGCAUGGAGCCGACCUUGAAAUACCACCCUUUAAUGUUUGAUGUUCUAACGUUGACCCGUAAUCCGGGUUGCGGACAGUGUCUGGUGGGUAGUUUGACUGGGGCGGUCUCCUCCUAAAGAGUAACGGAGGAGCACGAAGGUUGGCUAAUCCUGGUCGGACAUCAGGAGGUUAGUGCAAUGGCAUAAGCCAGCUUGACUGCGAGCGUGACGGCGCGAGCAGGUGCGAAAGCAGGUCAUAGUGAUCCGGUGGUUCUGAAUGGAAGGGCCAUCGCUCAACGGAUAAAAGGUACUCCGGGGAUAACAGGCUGAUACCGCCCAAGAGUUCAUAUCGACGGCGGUGUUUGGCACCUCGAUGUCGGCUCAUCACAUCCUGGGGCUGAAGUAGGUCCCAAGGGUAUGGCUGUUCGCCAUUUAAAGUGGUACGCGAGCUGGGUUUAGAACGUCGUGAGACAGUUCGGUCCCUAUCUGCCGUGGGCGCUGGAGAACUGAGGGGGGCUGCUCCUAGUACGAGAGGACCGGAGUGGACGCAUCACUGGUGUUCGGGUUGUCAUGCCAAUGGCACUGCCCGGUAGCUAAAUGCGGAAGAGAUAAGUGCUGAAAGCAUCUAAGCACGAAACUUGCCCCGAGAUGAGUUCUCCCUGACUCCUUGAGAGUCCUGAAGGAACGUUGAAGACGACGACGUUGAUAGGCCGGGUGUGUAAGCGCAGCGAUGCGUUGAGCUAACCGGUACUAAUGAACCGUGAGGCUUAACCUUACAACGCCGAAG
RNAcentral lists this ribosomal RNA (2925 nucleotides) under Escherichia coli. RNAcentral describes it as "23S ribosomal RNA". It matches the Rfam family "Bacterial large subunit ribosomal RNA". The record is from RNAcentral. Lineage: Bacteria; Pseudomonadati; Pseudomonadota; Gammaproteobacteria; Enterobacterales; Enterobacteriaceae.